Molecule: ribosomal RNA, 776 nt
Filed under: uncultured Acidobacteriota bacterium
Lineage: Bacteria; Pseudomonadati; Acidobacteriota
Description: bacterial SSU rRNA
Rfam family: Bacterial small subunit ribosomal RNA
Source: RNAcentral
AGAGUUUGAUCAUGGCUCAGAAUCAACGCUGGCGGCGUGCCUCAGACAUGCAAGUCGAACGAUUAAACUUUCCUUCGGGAAAGAUAUAAAGUGGCGCACGGGUGAGUAACACGUAAGUAAUCUACCUUUGAGUGGGGAAUAACAGUCGAAAACGACUGCUAAUACCGCAUAAUGCAGCGGCAUCUAAUGAUGACAGUUGUUAAAGCGUUUACGCGCUUAAAGAGGAGCUUGCGGCAGAUUAGCUAGUUGGUAAGGUAACGGCUUACCAAGGCGACGAUCUGUAUCCGACCUGAGAGGGUGGUCGGACACACUGACACUGAAUAACGGGUCAGACUCCUACGGGAGGCAGCAGUCGGGAAUUUUGGGCAAUGGGCGAAAGCCUGACCCAGCAACGCCGCGUGAAGGAUGAAGUCUUUCGGGAUGUAAACUUCGUAAGAAUAGGAAGAAUAAAUGACGGUACUAUUUGUAAGGUCCGGCUAACUACGUGCCAGCAGCCGCGGUAAUACGUAGGGACCAAGCGUUGUUCGGAUUUACUGGGCGUAAAGGGCGCGUAGGCGGCGUGUCAAGUCAAUUGUGAAAUCUCAGGGCUUAACCCUGAACGGUCAAUUGAUACUGAUGUGCUAGAGUGCAGAAGGGGCAAUCGGAAUUCUUGGUGUAGCGGUGAAAUGCGUAGAUAUCAAGAGGAACACCUGAGGUGAAGACGGGUUGCUGGGCUGACACUGACGCUGAGGCGCGAAAGCUAGGGUAGCAAACGGGAUUAGAUACCCCUGUAGUCC